UUAACAUUGAUGAACGGGAUAGUAGUUCAUGCCGGAUAGUCACAGCGAGCCGGAAGGGUGGAAGCCGGUACGAAUGGCGUGAAUGAAGCGGACCCGGGAAAUGGUUUGCCGAACCUGGAACAAGUGUAGGCAAAUCCGGCAACAGGCCGUUAUACGUAUAGAGUGGCUAAUUAUGGUUAGCACUUAGAGUGGCACCGCGGGAACCAAAGGUCUCUCGUCUCUUUU
RNAcentral lists this non-coding RNA (225 nucleotides) under Paenibacillus macerans. Its description in RNAcentral is "T-box sequence". It matches the Rfam family "T-box leader". From Rfam's summary of the family: Uncharged tRNA acts as the effector for transcription antitermination of genes in the T-box leader family. T-boxes are found upstream of many aminoacyl-tRNA synthetase genes and some amino acid biosynthetic genes usually in Gram-positive bacteria. Lineage: Bacteria; Bacillati; Bacillota; Bacilli; Caryophanales; Paenibacillaceae. The record is from RNAcentral.